Molecule: long non-coding RNA, 1072 nt
Filed under: Homo sapiens (human)
Lineage: Eukaryota; Metazoa; Chordata; Mammalia; Primates; Hominidae
Description: HSALNT0313941
Source: RNAcentral
CCCCCGCCGCACCUUCACCCUUUCUGAAAAGGUCAAUCGUAUCUCGUUGUUCAGUGAUCCGGGAGGUGGAAGGCUAUUGGUUCAGGGAGCCCGUCAGACCGGACUGGAGUGAGCCAUGAUUGGUCGACACAGGCGCAAUCAGAGUCAAGAAAACUUUGCUUUUGACUUAUUUACAGCUAGUCACAAUUGAGUGAAGUAUACUCCUGUAAACAAAUUUGGAUUUCUCUCUCUCAAUCUGAUUUCUCCAGAAUGUGGAAACUAUUUAAACAGACUGCAGAUUGAAUUCCUACAUAGGCUAUUCCAGAAUUCUUACGAGACUUGCAUUAGGACAUCAGCAACAGGUAUCAUCUAGUGAACUGUUCAGAUGCAACUGAAUUGAAAAGGAGCUGAACAAAAGAUCCUGAGAGAGACUUCAACAAAAAGUAAAAUGGAUUUUAUCAUACUUGAAAAAUCAACAAUUGCAGUCUGGAUUCAUACAUCACUGUCUGAUGCACCCAACUUGAGUCAAAAAGAUGUUUCAAAUCCCACUAGGCUGGAGGCAAAAAUACUCAAGAGUUUAAGAGCGUCUCUUGACAGUGUACAGAAUAAGAUAGCUUCUCAGCUUUCAGCUUUACUUCACGGUUUUAACUAUCAAAAGAAGCAAGCCAUCUGAAGAUUUGCCUGAGACUGAAGGAUCCACUUCUGCGACGACUCCCUCAGGACUUAUAAUGCAGAUGGAACCAGAUUGAGAAAAACCAGCCAACCAACCAACCAACAUGAUGGCUGAACCAGACAAGAGAAGUCCCGAAGUAAAAUACCCACCAAUUACCAGAAUCUGUGCCUGCCAUACAUCGAAGAAAAUUCAACAGCAAUACAAAUUAACCUUUGGAAAAUCUUUCCUGGGUUUUAUGUUUGUGUGAAAUGCCCCUUUACUAAACUGGAAGAUGUGUAAGAUGGAAGAAGAGGUUCUGCUGGAUAUGGAGAAAUUGGAACCCUUGUACAUGUGGAAAUGUAAAAUGGUGCAUUAGGAAAACAGUUUCAACGGUCCUCAAAGUGGUAAACAUAGAGUUACCAUAUGACUGAGAAAUUUUAC